This 737-nucleotide non-coding RNA is filed under the name Nasonia giraulti. Lineage: Eukaryota; Metazoa; Arthropoda; Insecta; Hymenoptera; Pteromalidae. The record is from RNAcentral.
CUUUUAAAUAUAUAUAAUUUUAUGAUAAAAAUAAUUAUUUUAAAUAAAUAUUUAUUAAAAUUUAAUAAAUAAAAUUAAAAAUUUAAGAAAUUAAUAUUUAGAAAUUUUAUUAAAUAUAGGUUAAUUUUGUGCCAGCAUCAGCGGUUAAACAAAAUAUAUAAAUUAAUUAUAUUAAUUUAUUAUAAAAAUAUUUAAUUAUUAAUAUUAAUAUAUACAAUUUUUAGAUUAAAUAAAAUUUGUUAAAAUUAUUAUUAAAUUAAAUUAAUUUUAUUUAAGUUAAUACUUCAAUAAACUAGGAUUAGAUACCCUAUUAUUAGUAUAAAAUUUUAUUAAUUAAGUAUUAAAUUUAAAUGUUAAAAUUUAAAAAUUAUGACGGUAUUAUAAUCUAUUUAGAGGAACUUGUAACAUAAUUGAUACUCCACGAUUUGAUAAAUUUAAUAUAAAUUAAUAUUUUUGUAUGUUCGUUAUAAAAAAAUUUAUUAAUAAUUUAAAUUUUUAAAUUUUAUUAAAAUAAAUUAUUUCAGAUCAAUAUGAAAUUAUAUAUUAAAAGUUUUAUGAGUUACUAUUUAUUAAAAUAAAUAUUAUUUAAUUUUUAAAUAAUUAAAUUAAAUGGAUUUAAUAGUAAUAAAUAAAAAUAAUUAUUUAUGAAUCUAGUUUUAUAAUAUGUACAUAUUGCCCGUCACUUCUAGAAAUAGGAUAAGUCGUAACAAAGUAAAUAUACUGGAAAGUGUAUUUAG